This 253-nucleotide ribosomal RNA is filed under the name uncultured bacterium. Its description in RNAcentral is "partial 16S ribosomal RNA". It matches the Rfam family "Bacterial small subunit ribosomal RNA", at positions 524 to 776 of the family's 1533-position model. The record is from RNAcentral.
UACGAAGGGUGCUAGCGUUGCUCGGAAUUACUGGGCGUAAAGGGCGCGUAGGCGGAUAUCUAAGUUGGGGGUGAAAUCCCGGGGCUCAACCUCGGAAUUGCCUUCAAAACUGGAUAUCUUGAGUUCGGGAGAGGUGAGUGGAACUCCGAGUGUAGAGGUGAAAUUCGUAGAUAUUCGGAAGAACACCAGUGGCGAAGGCGACUCACUGGCCCGAUACUGACGCUGAGGCGCGAAAGCGUGGGGAGCAAACAGG